CCAUUUUUCUGAAUUUGGUCAUUUAAAAUACAUUCAUUCCUCUAUUGAUACCUUUUCUGGUGCUCUUUUUGCAUCAGCCUAUCCAGGGGAAACAGCUAAAGUUGUCUGUAGACACUUCACUGCUGCUUUUGCCACUCUUGGUAUACCAUCUGAAGUGAAGACAGACAAUGGCCCAGCUUACAAUUCCCAUCGAGUUGCUGCCUCUUUUGUCUUUUGGGGAAUUCUUGUAUUUGUGGGGUUCCCAGAUGAAGGAAGGAAUGAUGAAUCUGACUCCAUGUUCUUGGAAGGGUAAUUUAUUAUUUUAUGAUACUAUGUUAUAUUAAAGAAUGCUAUACUAAAACUUAUUAAACUAUACUAAAGAAUACAGAAAGGAGACUUACAGAAGGCUAAAAGAUACUAAUGAAAAACUCAUGACUCCUUCCAGAGUCCUGACACUGCUUGACCGGGAUUGGUCAUUAAGUCAAAACAAUUCACAUGAAACCAAUGAAACAAUCACCUGGGGGUAAACAAUCUCCACACACAUUCCAAAGCAGCAAAACACAGGAGAAGCAAUGAGAUAAUAUUGUUUUCCUUUUUCUCGGAGGUUUCUCAGUUUCCCAGGAAAAGAAUCCUGGGCAAAGGGAUUUUUCCAGAAAAUAUGACUGCCACAGGGAAUUAGGCACAAAACAGGUAUUGCUCAUUCCCCAACAGGCCAAUCUGCCACUGAACGGGCUCAUGGCUCCCUCAAGCGUCUCCUAGUACAACAGAAAGGGGGGGACGGAGAUGGCACCCCUGCUGAGAGACUGCAGAAAGCCCUUUAUGUUUUAAAAUUUCUGAAAUGUUCUUUGAUGGACCCCACCCCAUCGAUUGUUCGACAUUUUAAUUGUAAUUCACAAUUGCAACAAAAGGAAAAACCUCCUGCCUAAGGGAAGGAUCCAGAAUCUGAGAAUGGUCCCAAGUGGAUUCCAGCAAAGAAUGUGAAGCCCUUUGGAGAAUCUUUGAGUGCAUCCCCUGAAGAUUGACCUUGAACACCAACAUUGGAGGAGAACCCUUGUGAACAGGACCUCAACACCACACCAGCACCUGUUUAACCUCUAACAGACUUGAGCCCUUGGGAAAAUGGUUAAGAUUACCCAGUGGUAUCAGGGCUUACAAGGCUAGGAAAACUUCUGGGGGACUGGAAACUUGGUGGAUGGAUAAGAAAUUUAGUUAAAAUAGGCUUCUAUGUAUUAGGCAUUGUAUUAUGUAUUGUUAUGGUUAUUCCUUGUAUUUACACUGUGUGAAAAAAUUAAUAGGCAAAUCACUUAAGAGAGUAUUUUUGUUUGAACAGAUAGGGAAAGGUAUGGGGAAUAAAACAGAGAGUACAGUGGAACUGAUAAAGGGGCCUGAUAUCUUAGGCCUGAUGGAGCAGAAACUGUGGGAGGGACAGACACAGAUUAAGGCUCCCUGGGCAAGAGGUGACCAAGAAACAUGUUGUGAGACUUUGUGAUGUUACCAGGUGAUGUGAUGUCAUGAAGAAUGUUUAACCAAUGGGAAAUUGUUACCAAAAAUAGAGCCCUAUAAAAGUACCAUACAAGUCAAACCCUAUAUAAACCCGUGGUAUACUCAAUAAAAUUGGCUUUGGAUCUAAA
Haemorhous mexicanus (house finch) is the source of this 1610-nucleotide long non-coding RNA. RefSeq lists it as uncharacterized. The transcript has 2 exons. Lineage: Eukaryota; Metazoa; Chordata; Aves; Passeriformes; Fringillidae. The record is from RefSeq and is a predicted model, not a curated record.